RNAcentral lists this long non-coding RNA (629 nucleotides) under Sorghum bicolor (sorghum). RNAcentral describes it as "long non-coding RNA (SBIC_LNC016619)". Lineage: Eukaryota; Viridiplantae; Streptophyta; Magnoliopsida; Poales; Poaceae. The record is from RNAcentral.
AGCAUGGGAAGUCAUGCCACCCCUUUCUGUAAGAAUCCCAGCAGCUGCGUGCAUGCCACCAACAUCCUCAGGGCUGGUCUCCGCCCUCACCUACAUAGGAGUAUUUCCAAAGGAAAAAAAUUAUCACUGAAUAAAUACAGAAGAGCUAUUUUUUACAGAGGAUGAAAAGGAUAUUACUUACCAAAAUAGCAGCUUUCCCCUGGGCAUGCCAUGCUUCAGCAUCCUCAGCAGUAAACACAAUCUGGCCCACAGCAGCCCCAGGUGAGGCUGGCAGUCCCGUGGCAAUAACUUUAUCCUUGUAUAACGCUGGGUUCUCAAACUGGUUUUCCAUAAGACAAGAGGAAAAAGGUAUCAAUGCAUGCAUAUCAACUACUUAAUUAAUAUACAAACAUCUAGGACACGUUGAUUUGAUAAGCCGUUCAUGGUUAGUACGAUUGAUUACCUGAGGAUGAAGAAGCUGGUCCAGGUGGCCUGGUUCUACCAUCUUAAUCGCUUGACGGCGCUCAACAAGGCCCUCGCUAACCAUGUCCACAGCAAUCUUUACGGCACCUGCGCCUGUACGUUUUCCUGUUCUGCACUGCAACAUCCACAGCCUGUUCUCCUGAACAGUGAAUUCGAUAUCCUGCAUC